Molecule: ribosomal RNA, 600 nt
Filed under: uncultured archaeon
Lineage: Archaea
Description: bacterial SSU rRNA
Rfam family: Archaeal small subunit ribosomal RNA
Source: RNAcentral
AGGGCGGCGUACGGCUCAGUAACAUGUGGUCAAUCUACCCUCAGGACGGAGAUAACCUCGGGAAACUGAGGCUAAUAUCCGAUAGAUAAUGGAUCCUGGAAUGGUUCAUUAUUCAAACGGCACAUUGCUCAUGCGCAGUGUGUCGCCUGAGGAUGAGACUGCACCCUAUCAGGUAGUUGGUGGGGUAAUGGCCCACCAAGCCUAUAACGGGUACGGGCCCUGAGAGGGGGAGCCCGGAGAUGGGCACUGAGACAAGGGCCCAGGCCCUACGGGGCGCAGCAGGCGCGAAACCUCUGCAAUGCGCGAAAGCGCGACAGGGCCACCCCGAGUGCUAGCCGCUGAGGUUAGCUUUUCCUUAGUGUAGUAAGCUAAGGGAAUAAGCGGGGGGCAAGCCUGGUGUCAGCCGCCGCGGUAAUACCAGCUCCGCGAGUGGUCGGGACGAUUAUUGGGCCUAAAGCGUCCGUAGCCGGCCUAUCAAGUCUCUGGUUAAACCUCAAGGCUCAACCUUGAGAUCGCUGGAGAUACUGUUAGGCUAGGGGGCGGGAGAGGUUGAGGGUACUUCGCGGGUAGGGGCGAAAUCCUAUAAUCCGCGAAGGACCA